This 299-nucleotide signal recognition particle RNA is filed under the name Cebus imitator (Panamanian white-faced capuchin). Its description in RNAcentral is "Metazoan signal recognition particle RNA (ENSCCAG00000005866.1)". It matches the Rfam family "Metazoan signal recognition particle RNA". Rfam says of the family: The signal recognition particle (SRP) is a universally conserved ribonucleoprotein. It is involved in the co-translational targeting of proteins to membranes. Lineage: Eukaryota; Metazoa; Chordata; Mammalia; Primates; Cebidae. The record is from RNAcentral.
GCUGGUUGCGUUGGCAUGUGCCUGUAGUCCCAGCUACUCGGGAGGCUGAGGCUGGAGGAUCGCUUGAGUCCAGGAGCUCUGGGCUAUAGUGCGCUAUGCUGAUCAGGUGUCCACAGUAAGUUUGGCAUCAAUAUGGUGACCUCCCAGGAGCUGGGGACCACCAGGUUGCCUAAGGAGGGGUGAACCAGCCCAGGUCAGAAAUGCAGCAGGUCAAAAGUCCCGUGCUGAUCACUAGUGGGAUCGCGCCUGUGAAUAGCCACUGCACUCCAGCCUGGGCAACAUAGUGAAACCCUGUCUCU